UGCAAGUCGAACGCUUCUUUCCUCCCGAGUGCUUGCACUCAAUUGGAAAGAGGAGUGGCGGACGGGUGAGUAACACGUGGGUAACCUACCCAUCAGAGGGGGAUAACACUUGGAAACAGGUGCUAAUACCGCAUAACAGUUUAUGCCGCAUGGCAUAAGAGUGAAAGGCGCUUUCGGGUGUCGCUGAUGGAUGGACCCGCGGUGCAUUAGCUAGUUGGUGAGGUAACGGCUCACCAAGGCCACGAUGCAUAGCCGACCUGAGAGGGUGAUCGGCCACACUGGGACUGAGACACGGCCCAGACUCCUACGGGAGGCAGCAGUAGGGAAUCUUCGGCAAUGGACGAAAGUCUGACCGAGCAACGCCGCGUGAGUGAAGAAGGUUUUCGGAUCGUAAAACUCUGUUGUUAGAGAAGAACAAGGACGUUAGUAACUGAACGUCCCCUGACGGUAUCUAACCAGAAAGCCACGGCUAACUACGUG
RNAcentral lists this ribosomal RNA (480 nucleotides) under Enterococcus faecalis. RNAcentral's name for it is "bacterial SSU rRNA". It matches the Rfam family "Bacterial small subunit ribosomal RNA", at positions 56 to 507 of the family's 1533-position model. Lineage: Bacteria; Bacillati; Bacillota; Bacilli; Lactobacillales; Enterococcaceae. The record is from RNAcentral.